This 97-nucleotide signal recognition particle RNA is filed under the name Methylococcaceae bacterium. Its description in RNAcentral is "signal recognition particle sRNA small type". It matches the Rfam family "Bacterial small signal recognition particle RNA". From Rfam's summary of the family: The signal recognition particle (SRP) is a universally conserved ribonucleoprotein involved in the co-translational targeting of proteins to membranes. Archaeal SRP consists of a 7S RNA and homologues of the eukaryotic SRP19 and SRP54 proteins. In most bacteria, the SRP consists of a 4.5S RNA and the Ffh protein (a homologue of the eukaryotic SRP54 protein). The record is from RNAcentral. Lineage: Bacteria; Pseudomonadati; Pseudomonadota; Gammaproteobacteria; Methylococcales; Methylococcaceae.
UGUCGGUCCUCCCGCAACGAUACUCUGCAAACCCCGCCAGGCCCGGAAGGGAGCAACGGUAGUAGAGGAUUCGUGUGCCGGUAUGUGGCUGGCAUAG